This 2170-nucleotide unclassified non-coding RNA is filed under the name Hevea brasiliensis (rubber tree). The record is from RNAcentral. Lineage: Eukaryota; Viridiplantae; Streptophyta; Magnoliopsida; Malpighiales; Euphorbiaceae.
AAUCAGUAAUCCAUAAGCAAAAUAUACAUAAGCUACGCUGCAAACUAGAUGCUACUAUUUUAUACAAAUUGAAAGACCAGUCACUAGCAUAUGCCACAACCACCUACAGCAGCACCCUCUUGAUUGAAGAACCACAUACGCAUGAUCGCGAUUUUGAAAUCACAAGACAUUUAAUAAGAGAACAUUGUAUCUGGACAAAAGAGUCAACUUUUUGGUGAAUGUUCUGCAUCAGAUCCACCUCCUGAGGAACUUUCACUAUCAGAAUCACUUGAUGAUGACACCGAGUCAGUGCUAGAGCUGCCUGGUUGACUAAUAUUUUUCCCCUGAUUUUCUAGUUGAGCAAGAUUGGAGGGAGUACCUUUCUCUUCUCCUUUGCUUUCUUUUGGAAUUUCUACCACAACUGGGUUAGCAUUCUUCUCCUGAACAUUCUGUUCAGUUUCCUUUUUUUCUUGAUCUGCAAGUUCAGUUUUUCUUUUGUUCUUGCUCAAGCUCUUUUUGUAAUAGAUAACAAACCGGUCGAGCUCCCAUAGGGUCUCAGUAUCAACACUGUCAAUAUCCACUUCAAUCUCAUCAUCCUGUUGGCAAAGAGAUGAAUUCCUCUUUUUGAUGAUCUGUACAACAUUUUCAAGCUUUUCAGAUGGCAAAUUCUGUAGGCUUGUGCUAAGCUUUUGCUUCUCAUCAUAUGUCAUUUCCCUUUUAUUGGGAUCCUUUGCUUUCGGCUUCUUUGGUGCAGGGAUCCUUCCAGAUUGGGAGACUGUGACAGAUUUAGUCUUGGAACCAACAGGUCUGGUCGUUGAUUCUGACCUGUCUAAAGUCUUCCUCAUUCCAGAAGGCCGCAAUGGUGGAGGUUUCUUAGAUGUAGGAGUCUGCAUCACCUCAGAGUCCAUUGACAAUCUCAACUCGCGCAUAUAAUCAGCCUCUAUAGAGGGCCACUUCUCCUCAAAUAUCUUGGAAAGUUGCUCAGCCAUCAUAUAAACAUCUUGACCCUUUGGGUUAUACGUCAUGGCAUUUUGAAACGUUAGUCUCACAUCCUCAGCAAAUUCUUUAGGAGACUUGUACAGAUUUGUCUCAAGCCUGGACUUCACAGUUCCCAGGUCCAUUGGAUUCUUAAUAAUGUCAAAAUAGUCAUGUAAACCAAGACCUUCUGUAUCAACAGGCUGGUUAAACACCCAACCAUGCUUGUGCUUCAUCAAUCUUUCAAGCAAAGCACGACAAUUCUUUAGCAUUUGAUUUGAGAACUUCACUAACUCAAUACCAGGUCCUGAUUCUGGCCCACUCACUUUCUUUGCAUUUGAUUUCGACUUCUUGUUGCUUUCAGCUGGGGGAAUCUUAUCCUUAGCUAAGAGAAAUUCUGAGUUCCUAUAAAAUUGGUUUACCUUUGGUGUCCUCUUCUCUUUCUCCAAAUUCUCACCAACACCAUGGCUGUUCUCCAAAACUGACACACUUAACUGAUUCAAAGGCCUGGACUCAAGGUGUUGCCCCAUUUUUGACACGUCUGAAUGUACCCGUCGCACCCCACUAUCCUUAUCAAUUCCAGGGCCAGUCUUCUGUACAUCUUUUGCCUCAAUCUUCAUCACCAAACUCCUAACCAAGUCCAAUUCACUCUGCAGCUUUCUUCUUAUCUCUCUCAUCUCCCGCUUGGACUUGAACGUCAAAUUGAUUCUAGCACUGUUUUCUUGACCACUACCUAGGAUUUCAGAAUGCGAAUGUUGUAAGCCAUCACCUAUGCUAUUUAACCCUUUAAACGACUUCCGUCUGUACACUUUGCUUUCAGUCAUAUUCUGCUGCUCUUCCGAUCCUUGAUCUUCACCAUUCAUCAUUGUCCCUUUAGUAGAUCUUAGAAUACACACACAGAGUUUCUCUCUCUAUCUCUCUCUAUCAUUCAGAUGCUCAGUCUCUCUCUAUCAAUCAGCUGUUUACUGCAAAUCGUUCUUUGUUUUUUCCCAAAUAUCGGAAAAGAAUCGGUGAGCGGAGGAGAGGAGGGAGAAAUGCGAUUCGCGUGCAGGCCACGACGUUAUUGACGGCUAAGAUUUUGUCAUCGCGAAGAAGCUCAGAUAUCGACGGCGUGGAUUUCUGGUUGAUCGGAGCGUCAACAUUUGUCUUGGUGUUUGCAGACGUUAACCACGCGUUGAUGGUGGCGCGUGGGAAGUGUUUGGUUCUGUAGAGUUGG